Molecule: ribosomal RNA, 250 nt
Filed under: uncultured bacterium
Lineage: Bacteria
Description: partial 16S ribosomal RNA
Rfam family: Bacterial small subunit ribosomal RNA
Source: RNAcentral
GACGGAGGGAGCUAGCGUUGUUCGGAAUGACUGGGCGUAAAGGGCGCGUAGGCGGUUUUUUAAGUGAGGCGUGAAAGCCCUGGGCUUAACCCAGGAGGUGCGUUUCAUACUGGAAGACUUGAGUGCGAGAGAGGAAAGUGGAAUUCCUAGUGUAGAGGUGAAAUUCGUAGAUAUUAGGAAGAACACCUGUGGCGAAGGCGGCUUUCUGGCUCGCAACUGACGCUGAGGCGCGAAAGCGUGGGGAGCAAAC